This is a long non-coding RNA of Oreochromis aureus, 1730 nucleotides long. NCBI's taxonomy places the organism in Eukaryota, Metazoa, Chordata, Actinopteri, Cichliformes, Cichlidae. The record is from Ensembl.
UUUAGAAGUGAUCUAAGUGACUUAUAUAUCAUUUGUAACCUCGGUAGUGAAACCUCUAUUAAUAAAAAUAGUGUACAUGUACAUAAAUGUACAUACCUUAAUAAAAACAAGCAGGUGAGAUGUUAGAACGCUUUUAUUUCUAUUUUAGUGGACACUCAAUACUAUAGACAGCUGCUGGGGUUUCUUUAACCUGAGUAGUGAGAAGUCCGCGAGCGGGGGGGUUGAAAAACGAUGUGCCGGGAGUCCGCUGUUGAGUUUUGGACGAAAUGCAUUCUGGGAUAUUUAGCUGUACCAAGUCCACACCGAUGCAUGCUCGAUAAAACGGGCGGAUCGAGAACACAUCCGGGACUUUUUCGCGUUCUCGGCUUGAUGCGUACUUCGAAUUGGAACAGUACUUGGUCUCCGACUGAUGACGUAUCACGAGUACACGAGAACGCAAGUACGCACAAGUACGCAUAUUGAUAAACGCCCAAGGAAUGACUGAAGACACAUGGACUAAAUACACAGGAGGAUAAUGAAGGAAAAUGGAAACACAUGGGGGAACAGCUGACACACAUGAACAUAACGACGUCACAAGAGGAGAGUAAAACUAAAAACAUUGAACAUAGGAACACAGGACCCCUUCAAAAUAAAACAGGAAACAAAGAGACGACACAGACAUGACAACAUGAACUUGACAACAUAAGACUCACAGGCAUGAAACACAUGAAGGGCAAGGGAGACUUCACAGGGGUUGAAAACACAAGUGGGAACUAAUAAGCAAAUGAACAUAGGAAACCUAAUGAGCUUAAACAUACUAUAAACAUCAAAAUGAACUAAAACUCAAAACACUGGGUCAUAAGACACAGGAUCGUGACAAAGAGAGGUAGGAAGUUCUCUUCCUUUUUUUGGGUGGAACAGCUAGGCCCCUCCAGUUCUCAACUGCAUCCCCAUCAGCCGGAAGAAUGUUUGUGGCAGCAUCAAAUCUCACAAACGGGUGAGCAUCCAUUUUUAUUUUGUCUUCCGCACUAUGAGUCGUCAUAGAUCCAGAAUUGGCAUCUGUGACUUUCAGUGAUCCCACUGUUGCCUCAUCUUUGACCUUUUCUUUUGCAGAACAAAUCUGCAUAUUUCCCUCGAUGAAGGAAAGAUGACGAGCAAUGAAGUGAUCGACUCGAACAGGUCUGUCUGGAUCUCAUCCACUGAAUCCACUCUCUCACUUUCCUCCAUCUGUUCAUCUGGAAUGAUGAUGGAGUCUUGAGCAAUUUGGGCUUUCAGGUAUUUCUUGCACCUUUCUGAGGGAAGAGGGGCUCCAGAACUGUCAUCACCUUCUGCCUCACUGAGGGCCACAACAGUGAUAGCACGCAGUCCCACUGGCAUAUCAUCUUGAUGCAGUGCACAACAUCAACCCUGAUAAAACAUGGGGGGAGUUUGGCAGACUGGGUUCCAAGAAGGACAUGAAAGCAUUCAUUAAGAGUGGCCAAAUUUGGAAGGUGGCUUGGCUCAGGAUCUCCAACAUCCAUCAGAUCUGCUGCCUUCGCUGACCUCCAUACAGCCGGUUCCAUUCUGCCCUCACACAGCUCUUUAGAGAUCUGUUCACGCAGGUUUCCAGUAAUGAACCGCUUGGAGUGGCCAGUGUGCAGGGAGAGAUCUGUAUUUCUCAUGAAACACUGGAGCACCAUUGGACUAUUGAUUGCUGGCUGUCUGUCACAUGUCAUUUCUAACUGGCCAUGACACUCCUUACUGAUGUCCAG